This is a non-coding RNA of Xylaria digitata, 107 nucleotides long. The record is from the annotation of a GenBank genome assembly. NCBI's taxonomy places the organism in Eukaryota, Fungi, Ascomycota, Sordariomycetes, Xylariales, Xylariaceae.
GUCUUGAUGGCGCAGUUGGCUAGCGCGUUGGUCUCAUAUUGCUAUAAUAUGAUCUAGUUAAACACUAGGUAAUCCAGAGGUCGUGAGUUCGAGCCUCACUCAGGACA